UAGGGAAUCUUCCACAAUGGACGAAAGUCUGAUGGAGCAACGCCGCGUGAGUGAUGAAGGUUUUCGGAUCGUAAAACUCUGUUGUAAGGGAAGAACAAGUACGUUAGGAAAUGAACGUACCUUGACGGUACCUUAUUAGAAAGCCACGGCUAACUACGUGCCAGCAGCCGCGGUAAUACGUAGGUGGCAAGCGUUGUCCGGAUUUAUUGGGCGUAAAGCGCGCGCAGGCGGUUUCUUAAGUCUGAUGUGAAAGCCCACGGCUUAACCGUGGAGGGUCAUUGGAAACUGGGAGACUUGAGUGCAGAAGAGGAAAGUGGAAUUCCAAGUGUAGCGGUGAAAUGCGUAGAGAUUUGGAGGAACACCAGUGGCGAAGGCGACUUUCUGGUCUGCAACUGACGCUGAGGCGCGAAAGCAUGGGGAGCAAACA
Molecule: ribosomal RNA, 427 nt
Filed under: uncultured Rummeliibacillus sp.
Lineage: Bacteria; Bacillati; Bacillota; Bacilli; Caryophanales; Caryophanaceae
Description: bacterial SSU rRNA
Rfam family: Bacterial small subunit ribosomal RNA
Source: RNAcentral